UAAAGGACUUAGGUUUUUCAGAGUCUGGUAGCCAGUCA
Long non-coding RNA from Nomascus leucogenys (northern white-cheeked gibbon), 38 nucleotides. It matches the Rfam family "GNAS antisense RNA 1 conserved region 3". The record is from Rfam. Lineage: Eukaryota; Metazoa; Chordata; Mammalia; Primates; Hylobatidae.